This is a non-coding RNA of Pelobates cultripes (western spadefoot toad), 284 nucleotides long. The record is from the annotation of a GenBank genome assembly. Lineage: Eukaryota; Metazoa; Chordata; Amphibia; Anura; Pelobatidae.
ACAUACCGGACGCAGAGGUUGUGCACCUGGUGUGAAGAUUACUGCUGGCACUCCUAUCACCCAAGUCAGCUAAAGUGGUGGAAACAGACGGGAUAUUCCGCUUACCCAAACCUGUCAAGGCCCCAAUCCACUACACCGCGAGACGUACUGGUAAGGUUCCAGAGAGGCAAGGACAAAACAGCAGUCCUAAAGGCUGUACGCGACCACUCACCAUACCCGUUCGAGAGUGUCACUUUCCUUCUAUGCGGACGUAUCGGGAAGUACUCUGGCAUGGCGCCACUCAC